Molecule: unclassified non-coding RNA, 249 nt
Filed under: uncultured fungus
Lineage: Eukaryota; Fungi
Description: sequence contains ITS1
Source: RNAcentral
GUAUUGAUUGCGGGUUAGCGCAUAAAUGAGGUCAUUCUACACUUUUAAAAGGGGGGGGUUUGUGUGAAAACGCGAGCCCCCUCCGAGAUGAUCCCAAAGGGUGCCCACGCGGCGAUGCACAAAGGGUGAGAUGGAUUAUUAUGUGAGAGGACACGCUCGGGCGUGCACGACAUUGAGUCAGCGACAGCCCUCACAUGCCCCUCACAUUUUGUUACGAUAAUGAUCCUUCCGCAGGUUCACCUACGGAAA